RNAcentral lists this ribosomal RNA (775 nucleotides) under uncultured bacterium. Its description in RNAcentral is "bacterial SSU rRNA". It matches the Rfam family "Bacterial small subunit ribosomal RNA", at positions 28 to 812 of the family's 1533-position model. The record is from RNAcentral.
GAUAAACGCUGGCGGCGCACAUAAGACAUGCAAGUCGAACGAACUUAAUCGUUAGUUUACUAAUGAAGCGGUUAGUGGCGGACUGGUGAGUAACACGUAAGCAACCUGCCUAUUAGAGGGGAACAACAGUUAGAAAUGACUGCUAAUACCGCAUAUGCCAUAAGUAUCGCAUGAUACAAGUGGGAAAGGAGCAAUCCGCUAAUAGAUGGGCUUGCGUCUGAUUAGAUAGUUGGUGGGGUAACGGCCUACCAAGUCGACGAUCAGUAGCCGAGUUGAGAGACUCUACGGCCACAUUGGGACUGAGAUACGGCCCAGACUCCUACGGGAGGCAGCAGUCGGGAAUAUUGCGCAAUGGAGGAAACUCUGACGCAGUGACGCCGCGUGCAGGAAGAAGGUUUUCGGAUUGUAAACUGCUUUAGACAGGGAAGAAAAAGACAGUACCUGUAGAAUAAGCUCCGGCUAACUACGUGCCAGCAGCCGCGGUAAUACGUAGGGAGCAAGCGUUAUCCGGAUUUAUUGGGUGUAAAGGGUGCGUAGACGGGAAAAUAAGUUAGUUGUGAAAUCCCCAUGCUUAACAUGGGAACUGCAACUAAAACUGUUUUUCUUGAGUGCUGGAGAGGAAAGUGGAAUUCCUAGUGUAGCGGUGAAAUGCGUAGAUAUUAGGAGGAACACCAGUGGCGAAGGCGACUUUCUGGACAGUAACUGACGUUGAGGCACGAAAGUGUGGGGAGCAAACAGGAUUAGAUACCCUGGUAGUCCACACCGUAAACGAUGG